This 1858-nucleotide long non-coding RNA is filed under the name Capsicum annuum. RNAcentral's name for it is "long non-coding RNA (CANN_LNC008764)". Lineage: Eukaryota; Viridiplantae; Streptophyta; Magnoliopsida; Solanales; Solanaceae. The record is from RNAcentral.
CUAAACAUAUUACAAUCCUAUUUUCAUCUCUAAGCUCAUCAUCCAAGAGUACUAAAGGAGAAAAACAACUAGGGUUGCAUAAUUAAGCUUGAAGAUCCGAUUUUAAGGAAAUUCCUCCGUCAAUCAUCAAGAAUCUUCCUUCUAAGGUAUGCGUAGUGUUCAUCUAUGGAUUCAAUUCAUUCAUAUAGUUCAAGAAUCAAUAUUUAAAAUAUAAAAGCUUGGUUGAUUGUGGUGAUAUGAUCAUACCCAUGAUGAUUCUUGAUUAUUUUCCUCUUUUUUAUUAUAAAGUAUGAUUUCUAUAUUGUUGGGUGUUGAUGAUCAUGUUGUUGAUAUUGGGUGAUUCCCAACAUGGAAUCUUUACAUGUUUUUGUGAAUUCAUAGUAUCAUAUGAGUUGGAAAUAUGUAAGUUUGGUUGUUCAUGAUGUAUAAUUUGAUGAAUUCAUCUAUGCUUAAGAUGUGCAUGUAAGGUGUUUGAUAAAAUGCCUAAAGAACUAGAAAGCAUGCAAUAUGGCUAAAUUGUGACUAAGUGAAGGAUUCAAGAUAUGCCCUUACAUUCCAAUGACUUCUAUGUUGUUAAUGUUUCUUGUAAAUGUUGUUGGAAUAGCCAUGAACUAUUCUUAUGAGAUUAUGCUAUGUUUACUUGCAAAUCCUACUUAUGAACAAGAUGUAUGAUAACCAUGCAAUCCACAUGAACUUCCAUGCUAUUAGUGUGUAUUGCCAAUAUGAUUAUGCAACCAACAUGAUAUUAAGAUUGUGUAAGUACUUCCAUGUGAUAUGAGACCAUUUCCAUGCAAUACAUUGUUGAUAACCAUGCUUAGUAUGAGAUCCCUACUUAUGAUAUUAUAAAUUAUUGACUCUACUCAUAGGAUCAAGUCAGUCAUGUAUGUCAGUUUCCUUCCAUCGAGUCGUAGGGGUAGUUUUACCCAAAAACUAUAGCUGUGUGCCUAGAUCCAUGACAUAUUUCACGAUAUCCAAACUCAAGCUAUGAUUCCAUAGACUUCAGUCCACCAUGUGACUCAGGAAAACCUCAUGAUCUUAGUCAGCUGUUAGAUAUCAGUAACAUUCCACCAUUCAAUGGAAUUCAGUAAGUUUAAGUCAUGUACAGUCAGUUAUUCAUGUCCAGUCCCUCCAGAUGGGAGUAGAGUUUAGCACCGAGUGAACCCAAGGUUGGGAACUCACCUAUCAGUUCAGGGUGUGAUUCUUAGUAGUAAUCCUUGUGUUCUAGAACUACGUAGCCAUCGUAGCUUGAGACAUCUUAACCCAUCAUCUCAGGGUUGAUGAGGUGGCUUAACCCAUAAGUUUAGGGUUCCCACCAUUGUCAUUAAGUACCCGCCAGAUAAGGGUUACUCACAGCUAUCCUUACGAGUGGCGCAGUAUUGACACCCCUCCAGUUGGGGCACAGAUUGGACCCCAGCUUAGCCAUAACAGUAUACAUAGGGCAUAUUGGUUAAACCCUACUUCCCAUAGUUUUAGUAUCAGUCUCAAUAAAAAAACUCAGAUAGUUUUUUAGAUUUCAGUAUAUAUAGGACUGCCAGAUAAAGUCAUCCAUGUUAUCAGUUUCAGUAUUAGUCAGGGCAGUUAUCAGUAAACCAUGUAUUUGGUUACAAGUCAGGCUAUUACGUAUUCAUGGUCCUAGUUUCUAUAUAUUUGUGUUUGUACUCCCACGUUCAUAUUAGUCAGUCAGUGUUGUUCAUGCAUGAAACCCUUUAUGUUCAGCCUACCUUCCUCGUAUACUCAGUACUCCAGUUGUACUGACGCAUUUGUGCUAUGUUACUUUCUAUUCAUGUUACACCAUAGGUUCUAAGACACGAGCUCCAUCCCAGCAGUAGCAGUAGCGUUCCAGUCGCAAAGACACAGU